UAAGACGUAGGGCGCGAGCGUUGUCCGGAUUUAUUGGGCGUAAAGAGCUCGUAGGCGGCUUGUCGCGUCGACCGUGAAAACUUGGGGCUCAACCCCAAGCCUGCGGUCGAUACGGGCAGGCUCGAGUUCGGUAGGGGAGACUGGAAUUCCUGGUGUAGCGGUGAAAUGCGCAGAUAUCAGGAGGAACACCGAUGGCGAAGGCAGGUCUCUGGGCCGAUACUGACGCUGAGGAGCGAAAGCGUGGGGAGCGAACAGGAUUAGAUACCCUGGUAGUCCACGCUGUAAACGUUGGGCGCUAGGUGUGGGGGACCUCUCCGGUUCUCUGUGCCGCAGCUAACGCAUUAAGCGCCCCGCCUGGGGAGUACGGCCGCAAGGCUA
RNAcentral lists this ribosomal RNA (378 nucleotides) under uncultured bacterium. RNAcentral's name for it is "bacterial SSU rRNA". It matches the Rfam family "Bacterial small subunit ribosomal RNA", at positions 521 to 896 of the family's 1533-position model. The record is from RNAcentral.